UUAAAACAUUUUACAGUUAUAGUAAAGGCGAUUAAAAAAUCUUUCGGAGUAAUAUUUCUAGUACCGCAAGGGAACAGUGAAAUAAAAAUGAAAUAACUAUCAAGCACCUAGCAGUAGAGACCUCCCCUCGUACCUUUUGCAUCAUGAUUUAACUAGUUAAUCCAAGCAAAAAGCACUAAAGUUUGCCCCCCCGAAACUAAGCGAGCUACUUCAAGGCAGUUCAAGAACUAACCCGUCUCUGUAGCAAAAGAGUGGGAAGACCUUCAAGUAGAGGUGAUAGACCUAACGAGCUUAGUGAUAGCUGGUUACUUAAGAAAAGGAUCUUAGUCCAACCCAACUUUUAUAAAAUACACCUAAAUAAAAAUUAAAUUUUGGAGUAAUUCAAAUAAGGUACAGCCUAUUUGAACCAGGAUACAACCUUUAUAAAUGGGUAAUUAAACUCUUAUGUAAUAAAGUAGGCCUAAAAGCAGCCACCUUCAAAAAGCGUCAAAGCUUAUUCACAAAUCAACUUAAUCCCCCUAAUCUUUAAAAACCCUUAAUCUUUAUUAAGUAACUCUAUAACAUUAUAGAACCUAUUAUGUUAAAACUAGUAACAAGAAUCAAAACUUCUCUUUAAUGCAAGUGUAAAUCAGACUGGACAAACCACUGAUUUUUAACACUUUGAAGCCAAAGUAAUAACCUUUCAAGAAAAUUUUACUUCACCCAAUGUUAACCUAACACAAGAGCAUUCUUAGACAGAUUAAAAGGAAAAGAAGGAACUCGGCAAAUAUUAACCUCGCCUGUUUACCAAAAACAUCGCCUCUUGACAACAUAUGAGAGGUCUAGCCUGCCCAGUGACUCUGUUCAACGGCCGCGGUAUCCUAACCGUGCGAAGGUAGCGUAAUCACUUGUUCUUUAAAUGAGGACUAGUAUGAAUGGCAUUACGAGGGUUAUACUGUCUCCUUUCCCUAAUCAGUGAAACUAAUCUCCUCGUGAAGAAGCAAGGAUAAACAUAUAAGACGAGAAGACCCUAUGGAGCUUUAAACUUUCAGCAAUUAUCUUUUUUUAUU
Molecule: ribosomal RNA, 1049 nt
Filed under: Pithecopus hypochondrialis (orange-legged leaf frog)
Lineage: Eukaryota; Metazoa; Chordata; Amphibia; Anura; Hylidae
Description: Phyllomedusa hypochondrialis (orange-legged leaf frog) partial 16S ribosomal RNA
Rfam family: Bacterial large subunit ribosomal RNA
Source: RNAcentral